GAUUCUUCCCAAUUCUACCGCCACCAUUCUGGUUCAAGCUACCUGGAUCUCACUUUGUUACCCAGGCUAGAUAGAGUGCAAUGGUGUGACCACAGCUCACUGAAGCCUCAACCUCCUGAGCUCACUUUUAAGCAAUCCUCUCACUUCGGCCUCCUGAGUAGCUGGGCCUACAGGCAUGUACCAACACUCCCAGCAAGUUUUUCUUAUUUUUUGUGAAGACAGAGUCUUGCAGUAUUGCCCAAGCUGGACUUGAACUCCUGGCCUCAAGCAAUCCUCCCAUCUAGGCCUCCCAAAGUGCUAGGAUUACAGGCAUGAGCCACUGUGCCAAGCAACACUUGCAGUUUUUAAGUGAAAAUGAUCCUGUAAAUAUACAUAUGAAUAAAAUCUAGAAAGCUAUAUAAAUCAAAAUGUUAAA
This 415-nucleotide non-coding RNA is filed under the name Pan troglodytes (chimpanzee). The record is from RNAcentral. Lineage: Eukaryota; Metazoa; Chordata; Mammalia; Primates; Hominidae.